Molecule: long non-coding RNA, 1306 nt
Organism: Tympanuchus pallidicinctus (lesser prairie-chicken)
Lineage: Eukaryota; Metazoa; Chordata; Aves; Galliformes; Phasianidae
Exons: 3
Source: RefSeq, a predicted model, not a curated record
UAGUAUUGUAAACACUGAAGCCAUUAGUUGGUUGUGUUACAGACUCUGCUGCAUUUAAUGGAAUGCAAAAGAGUUUCCUCUUAGAAAAAAAAGUUUUGCUUAUGAGGAUAUGUGGAGGGAAGAAAAACUUCCAGAAGCCAGUGGUGUUAGCAGGAGAGCCCAAUUUGGUCAUUAUCGUUAAGGCUGCCACCUGUAACCACUGACUGAAAACAAAAGAGGCUUUGUCCACUCUUAAAAUGUCCCUUGAUUGCUGCUUCAACGUUGGUACUUAAGAGGAGACGCUUGUGAUGCUGUCAGUUCUUGGACUGUGUAAAAUGAUUUUAUAUGGAUCUUCCAUCAAAAGGUUAAAAGAAGGUAGUCAUCAAGAGAAGCAAGCAAAACAGAAAGGUGUGUGACUUCUAUCAGAAAACUCGGAGCCCAUUUCAAGUUACUGCAUCCUCAAGAGAAAGAAAAUGCUGGCUUCUGACUCGUACCUACGUGGACCAACUGCAACCACAGGCUGUGCCGGUGCUCCUGAAACCAGACCGAGUUCUGUGCCGUGCUGCUGCAUCUCCUCCCACACCUGCCAUCCUCUGGGCAGUGCUGAAGCAGGGUGAGCUGCAGAGAAGAGUCUUAUUGAAAAUAUAAAAUAAAUAUCUAAUAAUAGGGCAAUUUAAUUGAGCAAUUCCAAAUGGCUGAAGCAGAUUUAUAUCAGCACAUUGAUUAGUUGCUGGAGACAUGCAGAAUCCUGAUGGGCCCUGGCCAGAGGAGCUCUCUGCUUGAUGUAAAACUCCUCUUGAGUUUUACACAGAUUCCUUUUAGUGCUCACAUUUCCUCUCAAAGAAAAUAUUCAGGUAUCAAAAGUCUGAGGGCCAUGGCCUAUCCGGAAUCUAUAUAGUAUUUGAGAUCUAUCUAGGAAAUUCUGUUUUAAGGAGGGCACAGAAAAAAGGAGCACAAGCAGAGGUGAGAGAGAGUGAAACUGCACUUCCCUCUUUCGAUUUUCCUUGUGAUGUCCAGAUUCUAAGAAGACAAAGGUUAUCAGGCUAAACCUAAAUAGUAACAAGAGAUGAAAAGUGUGAAUCUCAGUGCAGAUCUUUUAGAGCCCUCAGUUUUCUCUUUAUAGGGAUGUACUGGUGUGGAAACAGUAAGAAUAGCAAUAGAUGACUACAGGUUGUUAUUUGCAAAGAUUGGGGCAUACAUUUGGAAAAGAUACGGUUUUAGUAGUCAGAAUAAUUAUGGGAUCUGCAGGUAAAGGCCACUGUACUGAAAUUAUUUCCAGUCAAGACUGAAAACUGAAAGAAGAAAAUGCAGGGCAGCCCUCAGAUAC